This 549-nucleotide ribosomal RNA is filed under the name uncultured archaeon. RNAcentral describes it as "bacterial SSU rRNA". It matches the Rfam family "Archaeal small subunit ribosomal RNA", at positions 307 to 871 of the family's 1478-position model. The record is from RNAcentral.
UAGCACGAUCCAGCCUACGGGUCACAGCGCGAAACUUCACACUGCAGAAACUGUAUAGGGACUCCAAGUGUGUGCAUUUUAUGACACUUUUCUGACUCUUAAUCGGUUCAGGAAUAAGGGCUGGGAAAGACCGGUGCCAGCCGCCGCGGUAAUACCGGCAGCUCAAGUGGUCGUCGCUUUUAUUGGGCCUAAAACGUCCGUAGCCUGUUUGGUAAAUCUGUGGGUAAAUCAACUAGCUUAACUAGUUGAAUUCUGCAGAGACUGCCAGACUAGGAACCGGGAGAGGUGUGGGGUACUCAAGGGGUAGGGGUAAAAUCCUGUCAUCCUUUGAGGACCACCAGUUGCGAAGGCGCCACACUAGAACGGAUUCGACGGUCAGGGACGAAGCCUAGGGGCACGAACCGGAUUAGAUACCCGGGUAGUCCUAGGUGUAAACGCUGUGAACUUGGUGUCGGGAGUCCGCAAUGGGCCCCCGGUGCCGGAGUGAAGAUGUUAAGUUCACUGCCUGGGGAGUACGGUCGCAAGGCUGAAACUUAAAUGAAUUGACGG